This 403-nucleotide ribosomal RNA is filed under the name uncultured Microsporidia. RNAcentral describes it as "SSU rRNA". It matches the Rfam family "Microsporidia small subunit ribosomal RNA", at positions 1 to 405 of the family's 1311-position model. Lineage: Eukaryota; Fungi; Microsporidia. The record is from RNAcentral.
CACCAGGUUGAUUCUGCCUGACGUGGACGCUUGCCUCAAGGAUUAAGCCAUGCAAGCUAGCGAAGGUAACGGAGCGGCGAACGGCUCAGUAAGACAGGCGGAUCUGACCACUCAGAAGGAUAACCACGGGAAACUGCGGCUAAUACAGGGUGGGUGAAAGCCUGGCCUAUCAGCUAGUCGGUACGGUAAUUGCGUACCGAGGCGAUGACGGGUAACGGGGAAUCAGGGUUUGAUUCCGGAGAGGGAGCGAGCCUGAGAGAUGGCUGCCACGUCCAAGGACGGCAGCAGGCGCGAAACUUACCCACUUGGAGGACCAGAGGUAGUGACGAGGCGUGAUUAUGAGUCUACGGUAAAGAAGUAGAUGAAAGCGACUGGAGGGCAAGUCUGGUGCCAGCAGCCGCGG